CUCAUAAGUUAAGCUAACACUUAAGGGCGGCAGCUUGGAAAACGUUACGUUUUAUUUGUCCUUUUUAAUGUAUCAGACUCCGUCUGGCAUUAACGUUAAGUUAGCUAACGUAACCUUAAUAAAAACGUUUUUACGUUAUCCUUCAGUGUGAAUCAUGCGUUCAUCGUAACAUUUCAUACCGAGAACCAGAUUCAUCACGAAUGAAUCAUGAGUGACCCAGACAGGAGACUCCACUGAGGUCUGGACAGAUUGGACCAUUUCGACAACUUCUCCGGUGUUGUGUCUCUACAUCAUGUUUCUCUGUACGGCUUCUGCCUCUGACUUCUGUCCGGACCGGACGUGGAACCAUGUCUGUGGGUGUUUGAUGGACCGGCUCUGUCUGGACCGGACGUGGAACCACGUCUGUGGGUGUUUGAUGGACCGGCUCUGUCUGGACCGGACGUGGAACCAUGUCUGUGGGUGUUUGAUGGACCGGCUCUGUCUGGACUAAACGUGGAACCACGUCUGUGGGUGUUUGAUGGACCGGCUCUGUCUGGACUAAACAUGGAACCACGUCUGUGGGUGUUUGAUGGACCGGCUCUGUCUGGACUAAACAUGGAACCAUGUCUGUCGGUGUUUGAUGGACCACAGGUUCUGCUGAUGUGCAGGCAGAGUGGGGAGAAAGCUUCAGCCUCUCGCUGACCGGCUGAGAUCUGUUAAUAAUAGAUGGGUUGUUCUGCCCUGGGGUUUCCUUACUCAGACAAUCUAAGUCUGAGUUGCUGCCGUUAUUCUGGUAGAGUAACCUGAGAUUUCUGAAGCUUCUGUCUCUGAGUUCUGUCUCGACUGGAGGUGGAACCAUCUCUGUCGGUGAUUCAUGGACCACAGGUUCUGCUUGGUCAACCCUGGGUGAACUGGCACUAUCAUGUCCCAGUGCAUAUCUGAUGAGACGACCAGCUGCUGUCGUGACCCAAGGAACCACAACCAGACCCAACAUUAAGAUCGGCAUGUCGGCAGAAAUUGGUUGUUUAAUUAAUGUUUGCUGUUAAUUUUUUUCCCUAUAUUCAAAUAUUUUCUUCACAAAGGUGAGAAAUAAGUUUGUUAUGUUGAUUCUUGAGUGGAUCUUUCUGUGUAGCUCGGAGAGGAGUCUGCGCUGAAAUGAGCUCCAGCGGGCUUUCAAUGCCUUUAUAUAGGCCUAUAUGAUGCAAUUGUCUUUUGAUGGCACAGAUCAAAGGACAAUUACAUCAUAGGUUUUACCAGUAAAUGACAGCAGGUGUGUUUCAGUCAUUUAGUUUUAAAAAAUGCUAAAGGUGCGAAAUGUUGUGAAUGACUAGUAAGGUUUGAUACUUUAUUUAUCAUUCUAUUAAAACAAAAAUAAAGUUUGUUGCCCCUUCAUUCUACAUGUACAGAACUUAACAUAUAAUAAUUAAAUGUGUAUUAAAAUAUUGUAACAUAUAAAAUAAAACAACAUUUAAAAAUAAAACAAUCUAGUUAUUUAGCCAUGGCUGCACGUAUCCACCCCAAACAUUCCGCUGUGCAUUUUUUAAAUUUUGCGUCGGGGUUGAAUGUAAACAGCAGCCACGAGACAUUAAGAUGGUUUCAUCUUAACAUUAAAAAGUAUGAAAUGUGGAAAAAACAUGCCACCCAAUGUGAAGGUGUUGCUGAAAAGUUGAGUGAGAAAAUAUUACAGGCUUUUCUGUUGUGCUGUUGUUACUUAUACCUGCAGACCGCAGUGAGGAGCAGGAGUGGAUUGUAGCCUGUAAGCUGCAAAUGAGUAAAAUAAAGGUUUUUGGCAACUUUUCACAUUCCUUUUUUUAACUUAUCUAGUCUGUUUGAAGCAUUUUGCUUCAUUAACCAAAAUGCGCUGUCUUCCAGGCUGUGUGCGCGCAGUUACGCAGGAGAGCUCUGGUCUCCUUUGUUUUACAAAGAGACGGGCAAUUGUCACAGAUAUGAACGAGCUGGGCAGAUGCAAACAUAUCUUUUCAGUUUAAGACUUUAUUGUUCUGCUAAUACAACUGAAACCAAAAGAAGUUACUACAGGAACGUGUGGUAUAGUACCACAGGAACAUGAGGUACAAAUACCACAGAAAUUUUAUGGUAUUUUACCACAGGAAAGAUAGCAGGUCUGUUCCUGUGUUAGGAGGGAGGCACGUGUCUCCUUUAGGUAGAGAGGGAUCGUGAUCUAGUAAGUUCCUGUACUUGUGCUUCACGGACGGAAGCUGCGUGAGGCCGCACACCCUUCUACGGCGACACGCCAAUCCAACCGGGGUGUCCGCAGCCAGGGCCAGAAGCUGAACGGAGUGUGUCUGUGGCGCUUCAUGAUCUACGGGAGAUUCCAUGUCCGCUCCCCACAGGGGGGGUCUUGUCGUCAGGCCCGGGGCAGAAGUUUUAAGUUUAUACAUUUCUGAUGCAUGUUGUCUUGUCAAGCGUUUUGUGUCUUAGUCUUAUUAUAAGUUAUCUUAAAUAGGUUUUAGUAAAUUGACUCCCGUUAGAGAUGUCCCUUUGUAAAGCAGGCAACCCCUUGCUGGUGGUAAAGGGUGCCCUCUGCUAUUGGUAGAAGUGGUUCUGACCAGCUUGUGGUCCAACAGCAGAACCAGCGCUCGGACCGGGUCAGGCAGUGAGUCUUCAUCCUUGACAUUACCGAAACCAGAAAACCCUGUGAGGUUUAUAACAACGUGAGUUUCUGUGAUCUUCUGAGGGCCGAUAAACUCGAUGCCCUCAUCGUUCACAUGAGCAACUGACACGAACUCACAUCCACCUGUGGAGCGGAUCUCACAGUGUGGGAGAUGAAGCUGACACACAGUCUGCUGCAGACAUCUGAUGUCAAACAGGCUGCUUGUGGUGUCGGGCCAGUAGCCUCCUGUUCCAGGGGACAAUCCUGUAAACCACGUCCCCUUCUCCCUCCAGCAGGCCUGUCACACUGCACUGGUACAGGCCUGGGCAGGAGCACUGGAAUCUGUAGGUUUCAUCGUUUUCAUCAACAGUGAUAUCAGGGGUGAACUCGUCACAGCUGGAUUUGAACAGCAUGUCAGACCAGGAAAAUGCACGAUCGUUGAGGAACAAAAGCAGGAGGUCUCAUCACCGGAAGACUGGAACUGACCAUAAAGUGGAACAGAGAGAUCCUAUGAUUCUGAUCCAGCAACCAGUGAUUCAACACAGGAUAAACAUGAAAGAACAGGAGAACCAAGCAGGCAAUCAAGACUAGCCCCUGCUGAGAUGAGUGACACAGAUUACACCUGUCAAUCCACGAACAGGCUUGGAUCUGAAGACGAUUGUUUAAUUCCUGCGUCAAAUCAAGAUGCGGACCAGUUGUUCAGUAAAGAGUCGGAUUCCCAUCUUGCCCUUGCCAUCCAUGCAUCUCUUGAAGAUUUUGGAGUUCAGUUUGGACCCAUCUCUGGUCAUGAUGCUGAUGAUCAAGACUCCACUCUUCCCUGGAAUCCGCAUGACCUCAAAACAAUGCAGGAUCAGGGAGAUUCCCCGAAGCAGCCGACGCUGAAAGCCAUGCAGUCUGCAGGAGCCUUUAGUUAGCCUAGCUAUGAGAAUAAAUAAACGGAGUGCUUUCUCUCUUUUUCUCUCUCUCACACAUGCACACAUAGACAGAGGCACCCGUGCUGCCGCUGUCUCUCCCACAUCAGAUCCUCCCUCACUUAGCAGAACUUCUUGGGCAUUUAUCGUUAUUUUGUUAUGAGCGUGAGCUACUCUCUCCCAAAGCCACAAACCAGAGAAGACUCAAACUGUGAUGUUAUCAGGUGAAAAAUCUGGAGCCGCUUGUUAAUAGACAAUGAAUGUGAAACUAAUUUUG
Micropterus dolomieu (smallmouth bass) is the source of this 3778-nucleotide long non-coding RNA. RefSeq lists it as uncharacterized. Lineage: Eukaryota; Metazoa; Chordata; Actinopteri; Centrarchiformes; Centrarchidae. The record is from RefSeq and is a predicted model, not a curated record. The transcript has 6 exons.